This 695-nucleotide ribosomal RNA is filed under the name Alicyclobacillus acidocaldarius. Its description in RNAcentral is "bacterial SSU rRNA". It matches the Rfam family "Bacterial small subunit ribosomal RNA", at positions 66 to 756 of the family's 1533-position model. Lineage: Bacteria; Bacillati; Bacillota; Bacilli; Caryophanales; Alicyclobacillaceae. The record is from RNAcentral.
GCGGGUCUCUUCGGAGGCCAGCGGCGGACGGGUGAGGAACACGUGGGUAAUCUGCCUUUCAGGCCGGAAUAACGCCCGGAAACGGGCGCUAAUGCCGGAUACGCCCGCGAGGAGGCAUCUUCUUGCGGGGGAAGGCCCAAUUGGGCCGCUGAGAGAGGAGCCCGCGGCGCAUUAGCUGGUUGGCGGGGUAACGGCCCACCAAGGCGACGAUGCGUAGCCGACCUGAGAGGGUGACCGGCCACACUGGGACUGAGACACGGCCCAGACUCCUACGGGAGGCAGCAGUAGGGAAUCUUCCGCAAUGGGCGCAAGCCUGACGGAGCAACGCCGCGUGAGCGAAGAAGGCCUUCGGGUUGUAAAGCUCUGUUGCUCGGGGAGAGCGGCAUGGGGGAUGGAAAGCCCCAUGCGAGACGGUACCGAGUGAGGAAGCCCCGGCUAACUACGUGCCAGCAGCCGCGGUAAAACGUAGGGGGCGAGCGUUGUCCGGAAUCACUGGGCGUAAAGGGUGCGUAGGCGGUCGAGCAAGUCUGGAGUGAAAGUCCAUGGCUCAACCAUGGGAUGGCUUUGGAAACUGCUUGACUUGAGUGCUGGAGAGGCAAGGGGAAUUCCACGUGUAGCGGUGAAAUGCGUAGAGAUGUGGAGGAAUACCAGUGGCGAAGGCGCCUUGCUGGACAGUGACUGACGCUGAGGCACGA